This 161-nucleotide ribosomal RNA is filed under the name Xerochrysum subundulatum. RNAcentral's name for it is "5.8S ribosomal RNA". It matches the Rfam family "5.8S ribosomal RNA". Rfam says of the family: 5.8S ribosomal RNA (5.8S rRNA) is a component of the large subunit of the eukaryotic ribosome. It is transcribed by RNA polymerase I as part of the 45S precursor that also contains 18S and 28S rRNA. Functionally, it is thought that 5.8S rRNA may be involved in ribosome translocation. Lineage: Eukaryota; Viridiplantae; Streptophyta; Magnoliopsida; Asterales; Asteraceae. The record is from RNAcentral.
ACGACUCUCGGCAACGGAUAUCUCGGCUCACGCAUCGAUGAAGAACGCAGCAAAAUGCGAUACUUGGUGUGAAUUGCAGAAUCCCGUGAACCAUCGAGUUUUUGAACGCAAGUUGCGCCCGAAGCCAUUUGGUUGAGGGCACGUCUGCCUGGGCGUCACGU